AACGAACGCUGGCGGCAUGCCUAACACAUGCAAGUCGAACGAGACCUUCGGGUCUAGUGGCGCACGGGUGCGUAACGCGUGGGAACCUGCCCUUAGGUUCGGAAUAACUCCCCGAAAGGGGUGCUAAUACCGGAUAAUGUCUUCGGUCCAAAGAUUUAUCGCCUUUGGAUGGGCCCGCGUUGGAUUAGCUAGUUGGUAGGGUAAAAGCCUACCAAGGCGACGAUCCAUAGCUGGUCUGAGAGGAUGAUCAGCCACACUGGGACUGAGACACGGCCCAGACUCCUACGGGAGGGAGGAGUGGGGAAUAUUGGACAAUGGGCGAAAGCCUGAUCCAGCAAUGCCGCGUGAGUGAUGAAGGCCUUAGGGUUGUAAAGCUCUUUUACCCGGGAUGAUAAUGACAGUACCGGGAGAAUAAGCUCCGGCUAACUCCGUG
This 433-nucleotide ribosomal RNA is filed under the name uncultured bacterium. RNAcentral's name for it is "partial 16S ribosomal RNA". It matches the Rfam family "Bacterial small subunit ribosomal RNA", at positions 29 to 507 of the family's 1533-position model. The record is from RNAcentral.